CGAACGGGUGAGUAAUAUAUCGGAACGUACCCUAGAGUGGGGGAUAACGUAGCGAAAGUUACGCUAAUACCGCAUACGAUCUACGGAUGAAAGUGGGGGAUCGCAAGACCUCAUGCUCAUGGAGCGGCCGAUAUCUGAUUAGCUAGUUGGUGAGGUAAAAGCUCACCAAGGCUUCGAUCAGUAGCUGGUCUGAGAGGACGACCAGCCACACUGGAACUGAGACACGGUCCAGACUCCUACGGGAGGCAGCAGUGGGGAAUUUUGGACAAUGGGCGCAAGCCUGAUCCAGCAAUGCCGCGUGAGUGAAGAAGGCCUUCGGGUUGUAAAGCUCUUUUGUCAGGGAAGAAACGGAUUCUUCUAAUACAGAGAUCUAAUGACGGUACCUGAAGAAUAAGCACCGGCUAACUACGUGCCAGCAGCCGCGGUAAUACGUAGGGUGCAAGCGUUAAUCGGAAUUACUGGGCGUAAAGCGUGCGCAGGCGGUUGUGCAAGACAGAUGUGAAAUCCCCGGGCUCAACCUGGGAAUUGCAUUUGUGACUGCACGGCUAGAGUGUGUCAGAGGGGGGUAGAAUUCCACGUGUAGCAGUGAAAUGCGUAGAGAUGUGGAGGAAUACCGAUGGCGAAGGCAGCCCCCUGGGAUAACACUGACGCUCAUGCACGAAAGCGUGGGGAGCAAACAGGAUUAGAUACCCUGGCAGUCCACGCCCUAAACGAUGUCUACUAGUUGUCGGGUCUUAAUUGACUUGGAAACGCAGCUAACGCGUGAAGUAGACCGCCUGGGGAGUACGGUCGCAAGAUUAAAACUCAAAGGAAUUGACGGGGACCCGCACAAGCGGUGGAUGAUGUGGAUUAAUUCGAUGCAACGCGAAAAACCUUACCUACCCUUGACAUGUCUGGAAUCCCUGAGAGAUUAGGGAGUGCUCGAAAGAGAAUCAGAACACAGGUGCUGCAUGGCUGUCGUCAGCUCGUGUCGUGAGAUGUUGGGUUAAGUCCCGCAACGAGCGCAACCCUUGUCAUUAGUUGCUACGAAAGGGCACUCUAAUGAGACUGCCGGUGACAAACCGGAGGAAGGUGGGGAUGACGUCAAGUCCUCAUGGCCCUUAUGGGUAGGGCUUCACACGUCAUACAAUGGUACAUACAGAGGGCCGCCAACCCGCGAGGGGGAGCUAAUCCCAGAAAGUGUAUCGUAGUCCGGAUUGGAGUCUGCAACUCGACUCCAUGAAGUUGGAAUCGCUAGUAAUCGCGGAUCAGCAUGUCGCGGUGAAUACGUUCCCGGGUCUUGUACACACCGCCCGUCACACCAUGGGAGCGGGUUUCACCAGAAGUGGGUAGCCUAACCGCAAGGAGGGCGCUCACCACGGUGGGAUUCGUGACUGGGGUGAAGUCGUAACAAGGUAGCCGUAUCGGAAGGUGCGGCUG
This 1419-nucleotide ribosomal RNA is filed under the name metagenome. Its description in RNAcentral is "bacterial SSU rRNA". It matches the Rfam family "Bacterial small subunit ribosomal RNA". The record is from RNAcentral.